CAUUCCAGAAGAAAAAAGGCUUGAGCUGUCUGUUGAAAACAUCUACCAAGACUGGCUUGAGAGUUCCGGAAUACCAAAGCCGCUGCAGAGGGAGCGCCGCUCCGGGGCGGAGUGCGGGCUCGCGCGGCAAGUGCGCGCCGAGGUCACGAAAUGGAUUCGAGUGAACCGGAGACCCCGAAAACGGAAGCGCAGGGAGAAAGAAGAGGUGUUUGAAAAGCUUCUUCCAGACCAGCUGGUCUUGCUUCUGGAGCAUCUCUUGGAGCAGAAGACUCUGAGCCCCCGAACUCUGCAAAGCCUCCAGAGGACAUACCACCUCCAGGAUCAGGAUGCAGAGGUAACCAGGAACACUCUCGGAGUUUAACCAGCAGGUCCCCACUGUUGGUGAAGAAUGGUGAUCCCAUUACAGUCCCAAACUAUUGAAACCACCAUUUUCUGUUAGCAGAA
Molecule: small RNA, 444 nt
Filed under: Pongo abelii (Sumatran orangutan)
Lineage: Eukaryota; Metazoa; Chordata; Mammalia; Primates; Hominidae
Description: processed transcript
Source: RNAcentral